RNAcentral lists this long non-coding RNA (27337 nucleotides) under Coffea arabica (coffee). RNAcentral describes it as "long non-coding RNA (CARA_LNC000361)". Lineage: Eukaryota; Viridiplantae; Streptophyta; Magnoliopsida; Gentianales; Rubiaceae. The record is from RNAcentral.
UUUUUUUUUUUUUUUUUUUAGGGUUUGUUUUUUUACUCCUAAUAAGGAGUGUAGUACAUGUAUGUAUUUGAACCCUCUCUUCACCUUCCUCGUAAAACUAUAGCAGCACAUUUGAUUCUUUGAUUAAACAAAAUACAAAAAUACAUUUGAUUGAUUCUGCAAACUUUAGACCAGCCAGCCCGGAAUGCCAUUUGAUUGAUUUUCAUUCGAGAGAUACACAUGAUGAUGAUGAUGAUCUUUUGUCAAAAUGAAAACAGCUGUCCCUGUCCCUACUGGCAAAAAUUACUCCUGAUUAGCUUUGCAACGCUAGGCGUGACAUCCAAGAAGUCAUCAUCCAUACUCUUGCAAUUCUCAAUCCUUUGAGGACAGAAGGAUACGGCAUACACAACACUUCUUCUUCGAUUGAUAGAUAUAGCACCUCUACUUCAUCAUUCAUGUGAUCUAUCUAUUAUAAAAUAUACCAAAAUGAGUAUCAAAAAAAAUAUAUAUAUACUAACAAAAAAUCACACAGUAAAAGAUAAACGACACCACAAACAUCUCUGACAUGGGACAAAAAACUUAUAAAUACUUUAUAAACACCUCUAACAAAAUUGCCGUCCGUCUUUCAAGGCUGGUGGAUGACUCUCACACAGACACGUACUACGCUUUCUCACGCGACUAUGAAGUAUAAACGCUCCGUGUUCCCGCCAAUAUAUAUAUAUAUAUAUAUAUAUAUGCCAACUUAACAAUGACCCAACGAAAAUUUUUUUUUUUUUGAAAAAAAAACCUCUAAUUUGCAUCUAAUUACACAAUUAGGCACCACAUUCUUUUUUUCUCUUUUACAUGACCAAACAGUCCACCAGAGAGCGCACUAAAGUUUGGAUAAUGAAUAUCUUAUCUGACUUCAACCAGGAAAUCAUCGAAGUCAAACUCGCCGAAUUCCUCGGCGUAAUUUUUCCCUGACGGUUCCAUCGGCGGCCAACUUAACGGGAAGUCAGCGCCCAAGCCCAGGUCGUCAAACUCCGGGAAGGGGAAAUUACCAAACGGCGUCAAGCCGUCGCAGCAACGGAGAACCGAAGUGGCUGAUGAAACGGCGUCGCUAGUUCCAAUUCCAACCGAAACCUCUGUCUCCGUUUGACUAGUCGCAUCAUCAUAACGGAGCACUGACGUGGGCGACAAAGCGACAUAUUCUGACGUGGCGCUUUCACUACUUUUGUCGCCCUGACACGUCCCACCGACCGUUCCUUUAUGGAUUCUACGGGAAAGUUGGUCACAGCGUCAGGGCCUUUCAGCUUAACGGCGGCUCUAUCAUAAACGGAAGCCGCUUCUUCUGGAGUAUCGUAAGUCCCAAGCCAUACCCGUUUCCUCUUCGUCGGAUCCCGGAUCUCAGCCGCCCAACGACCCCACGGCCUUUGACGCACGCCCCUGAACUUCUUCCGGCUGCUGACGUCAGGUUCCGCCGGCGGAGUCAAACUCUGAUGACUUCUCUUCCCAUUCCUCGGCUGCUCGAUUUUUGUUGUUUUAGGAGGUGGGCCAAAGUUAAUUUCCUCCACGUGUCUCUUUACUCUCCGCACGUUCCUAGUUUCCUCUUCGUCAUCGGAGGAGUCGGUGGCGUCGGCGUCGGUGUAUAUGAUUCUCACAACUUUUUGCCGGACGACGGUCAAAGACUGGCCGGAGGGGGUGAGUGAUCUCCGGUCGUCUAUGGGCUUGUUUGUGGUAACAACAUGUUCUGAAAACUUGACUCUUUGUCGAGAAUACAUUGGAGAUUGAGGGCUGAUGCCUAUUUCCAUGAACUAUGCAGGGAAAUCUUCUUCCCGAGCAUCAAGAAGAAAAGGGAUUGGUUGGUUUUGCUAUCAAAAGAAUAUAAGAAAGCAGGAGAGCAAAACCACUGGGAGGAAAGGAGGGUGGUUUUAUAGAGGGGUUUAUGAGUGAGUGAGGAGUGAACAGACUUUGGAAAAGGGGCAAAGGAAGUAAAUAGGAGUUCUCAGUAAGAGGAGGUGGUGAAAGAAAUCGACACAGCGAUAUUUAGCAAAUGGCGGUUUGGUGACAGUAAAGGACAGGGAGAGAAAAAGGGGACCUGAGUGCUGGCUGGCCGCAGCUUAGCAGUUGGCUUAUGUUGUUUUUGGAGGGAAACAAAAUAAGUAACACAGACAGACACAGAGUAUCAGUAUUGUACUCUGCGGUUUUACAACUCUUUGCUCAAAGAUUCCCAUACCCCUUUUUAUCUCUCUCUCUCUCUUGUUUGUUUUCCCUUGUUCCUACCCCUUUGAUGUCGCAGCUCCGAACGGGAUGCAUCGGCUCAGUUUUUAAAGGGGCAGGAGAGAGAGAGAGAGAGAGAAGAGCAAGGAAAACCAAGAGCAGUGGACUGCGGCCCAGUGUGUCUGUAUAUUAUAGUCCACGGGUCUCAACUAUGGAGACUUGUGUGCAAUGAAGUCUUGUGUCCAAAAGGACUUUGUUUGGAUUGUGUUUUAUUUGGAAUAUUUUUACUAUAACACUUUUUGUGAUGUGAUGUGUGUGAGAUAAAAAGGUAAUUGGAAAGAUAAAAAAGUGUAUUGAAAAUUGUAAUGAUGAUGUAAGCAGAUAAAAUUGGGGAAAUAAAACACAAUCCAAACAAACCCAAUUAAUUUAUUGAAAAUACAUAAACUACAAUUUAGAAAUUCUCUAAUCGAGGAUUGUUCUCAAAUGAUUGAUUUUUUUAACACUUGUAAUGUUUACACUUGUUUUUCAAAACUGAAAAAAAAAACCUUAAAAAUCAAAAGUAACAAAUUACGUGUUUCUGAAUUCUAAUUAUGGCAUUAAAUGACCAGAAGCAAUAAAAGAGUAAACUUAUACUCCCUCCGUUCCACUUUGAUAGUCCUAAUUUUUUCACACAGUUUUAAAAAAAAAGUUAACUUUGUUGGAAUAAUCAAUUUAGGUAGCUAUUUUUCUAAAAUAUUCUCACAUUAAUUAGAGUACAACUUUAUAAAAAUUUGAAUUAAUAGGAAAAAAAGAAUCAACUCUUGGGCUGGUGGCCACCACCAAGCCCUUAAGGCUUUGGUGGGGUGGGAGGUAAGGAUUCAAAUCCGGUGGUGGUUCUAUCCCUCGUAGGUUCAGUUGAACCUCCCCCCGAGUUAGAGUAGGAGCAGGGAUGACAAUUAACAAAAAAAAAAAAAAAAAAUUAGACUACUAACUUUCAGGGUGGAUUUCGGUUUAACCCUUCAACGUAUAUCAAAAUAUCAAUUUAACUUGAAUCGUUUUUAGCUCAUUCUAAUCAUAUUUGGAAGAUUGAAAAUAGCAACAACAAAAUCCUUUUUUUUUUUCAGAUUAGAAGAGCGAUACUUUAUCCUUUACAGCUCAUCUAGGCGAGAAGUUAAUUGUUUUAAAGUCUCUGAAAAAAUAGACUAGAGGUUUCAAUUUAUCACUAAAGUUUAGUCAAAUAUUAUUGACCAAAUAUUAAAUGAGAGGAGUUCUUAUUCGGAACAAAAUUUUCACUUCGAAAAGCUUAAUUGAUACUUAAUCACAUUCAAGAGUUGAAUGAACCAUUCGAUCGACUUUGAAAGGACAAAUCAAAAUUCACCCGAAUUUUUAUUACACACUCAGAUUCUUUCUCUUUCACUAAUGGGGAGUCAGCAAAGGAAGUCGACUAAUAACGGACUAAUCUAAUACUAGUGGUUCUAGCCUUCUAGGACAGUGGUAACGUCGGACGUAAGGUGGUGGAAUUUCGCGGGAGGAGACUACAGCUGGCAUUUUGUUGACGUGUCAAAGGAUUCCUCUGAUUCAAGGAAAAUCUAACCAAAUUCCUAGAUUUCGCCCUGGCUUUUACCAAAGAAGCAGUAAGGUUUCGUUUGGGUUCUGUUGACUUUAAAUAAAAAUAAUAAUUGGAAGGAAAUAUCCUAGAAGGCGGCUGCCGCUUCCCACUGCCACCACGUCUUUGAAGUUUGAACCGAUGGUGUAUUAUGCCACGGGGUGGGCCCGGCCCCGGUAGGGGGCGCAAAUGCGUGGUCUGGCAGUGCACGCUAGAUUCCCUCAGCUUCCCGCUAAAUAUUUAUUCAUGUUUACUACUACUGGUGCUUUGCUUCAGGCCCUAUACUGGAUUGUUUCCAGAGUUAGAUAUCAACCCUUGUCAUCUUCCACGGAAGAUAACGAAAUGUGUGUUUUGACGGCCAGUUCAUUUUAUAGCUCGUACUAAACCUUGCAAUUUAAAAAUUUCUGAUGCACUAAAAACAAAAAUGUGUAAGGGAAAAUUUUUUUUUUUUUUUAAAAAAAGGGGGAAAUUGGGCCUUGUUUGGAAAGGAAUUUUCUACAAAAAAAAAAGAAAAAAUCUCUAUAUUUUUCACAAACAUAUUUUUCAAUUAAUUUUUUAUCUCAUAUAUAUUAAAUCGUUAUAAUAAAUUUUUUUUACCAAAAAAAAAAACUCCAUAAAAUUGGAAUUCAAACACGAGUUCUUGCCACAGUCUCGUGGACCACGACUCGUGUCCUUGACCAAAUUUGCUUUUGCUUGGCAGACCGGAACGUUAGAAAGGUAAGUACACAGAAGUUUCCAUGGGCUGGCGUUUCCCAUAAUUCAAAGGAUAUCUCUAUUAGACAAGAGGACCAGUUUUUCCUGGACUUCAUAAAUCCUUCCCCAAAAGUCUUCAUUUGUACGCUCACUCCUACCAUCAUCGGAGUAAACAAUAGAAGAGUCUCAUCGAAGAAUUAGUGCACAAUAGAGUCUCAUCACUUAAUUUGGGACGGUAGGAUAGAAUUAUCUACCCUAGAUUUAAUUUUAUCAUCCAAGAUUAUUUUCUUUAUCUAGCUAACUCGCAUUCCAAAUUAUAGGCUGCAUGUACACAAAUUUUCAUCUUUCGUGCACCCAUCCUAAAAGAGAAAGCAUAAUUGCAUUAUUCGGCUUGGGAUGUCGAGCAUGCAAGAGGACCUCCUGCAACCGGUGACUUGGGGGAGCUGUUUCAAUAAAUUUACUUUAAAAAAUCAGGAAGGAAAAAAAAACUGUAGAGAAGAAUAUCACUCACGGGAAGGACUUUAAUUGAGCGAAAAGGCCACUCGAGAAGUUGGUCUUUUUCUUCUAGCUUGAAGAAUAAGCAAAGGAAGAAGACCCCAUUUGGGUACAUGGGACGGCACAUGAUACAUUGGCGUUAGCAAUUAUGCAUCAUGUUGUAAGUAAGUAAGAUAUAGACUCAUUGCUUGUCAACCAAGCUAUAAUUAUUUUCGGCUGCCGCCUGAGAUAUUGCUGCCAUCUACUACUUAAUUCUGCUCUACGGUCUUCUCGGACCAAAAAGUAUGAAGGAAAAAGAUGAAGUAAACCACACAUUCAACUACUCCAGCACAAAUUCGAGGCAGGAGCAGGAGGAAUCGACACGUGUUUUGGUUGUGGAUUCUGUGACAAUUUAGGCACCAGAAUUCAACUCUUAUCACCACCAAAUUGCAAGCACCACCAUCCGGCAAAUGAGGCCCUUCCCUUCCCUUCCUCUAAUAAUGGAUUGCAUUUACGGGUCGGGUCACGAUCGGCCUUCAAAUCACCUAACCCUUGCACAAAACGCUCAGCUCACAUGAUCGAGCCGUCAUCAUCAGACGAAAUUAUCAUGCUUGAUCAAGAAUUGCUGCUGCUUAACGCCAGGCAUAUGUUCGUUAGUCUAACAAAUACACUUACUAUGUUUAAGGCACUAAUCUUCAAGAGGAUUAGUAUGAGAUUAGUAGUGCCAUUUUCCCUAAUGUUUAAACGUUACUGUCAUUCUAGGGCUACAUCCCCAUCCCCAUCCCCGCCACCAACAAAUCCCCCAAAUAAUGUGAUACGUUCAAUCUGUUCCUUUCCUUCGAUGUAGACGGCACCAAAGAUACUACUGUCCCAGAUGAUUAAAAUGAGCUCUCAAGGAUGCACAGGCGGAGCCAAAGCUUUAGAGUUGGAUGAGCAAGACUAUAAAAAGAUGUACGUACGCGAGAGGUGAUAUCUUCUUCAUUUUUUUUUUUUUUUAUAAAAAAAGAGUAGAUAAUAAACGAAGUACAACUGAAAUUAAAAGGAAUAAUCAGUCAAGUACAACUAACUCAUCAGUUACAAAAGAUGAAAUCCAGGAGUAGAAGUCAAAAUGGGCGAUCAUAAUCAAAUAAUAGUUAUAAUUGGGUCAAUUCAUUUCUGCUGAUUUAAUAAAUUGACCAAUUCAUAAUAGAUACGAGCAUAUCUAAUUAUCUAUGAUUUUUUAUUUACCGAUUACCUAUUUAGUAAUAACCAUUAUCAUGCGUAGCAGGUCUUACAAGAUUUUGUUCUAUAUUUAUAAGUUUAAAAUGAGUCACACCCUGAACAAAUGAUGAGAUUACAUCCUAUGUAAAAUCGGCUCAUACAAUUUUUUGACAACCAUUUGGGCCCCUGGUCCAACUGGCCAGAGCCAUCAAGUGUUCAACUUCCGCCGAUCCCCUCCAAAAUAUAGGUGGUGGCUGCCAACAAAUCAAUUUAUAUGAACUUUGAUGGGAGGUUUGACAGACUUUUGGGCCUAGAGAGGAGAAUUCGAAAGCAGGACAAAAAGCUGCCAAAUGCGGAGAAUGAGAGGAUUUUUGUCAGGUUCAGAGACGCCGCUUUUACGAUGCAUUUCCCUUGUCCCAAAGGAAACACAAUUCACAUGAUUGAACUCAGUGGCGAAUGCAGUGAGGACAGGACAUCACCACUCUCUCUCUCUCUCUCUCUCUCUCUCGUCAUUGGCUUGGGAUAAACGCUUCCGUUUACACUCACGAGUCAAGUAGAGACAACAUGUGCAGCACGUGGUAGGAUUAUAUGUUCGUAGCCUUUAAUCCACGUUUACCCACUAAAAGUAAAGGAUUUUAGCCUGGCAACAAAUUCUCUCUACUCACCACAUCCAUAUCCUGCCUGGCUAAUUUGUAUCGUUCUUCACAUCUCUAUCAAAAUGAUAGACAGCACUUUAUGAAGCAAAGGCCAGCAAAACCCAAGUACCACCACCACCAUCCCCCCCCCCCCCCAAAAAAAAGAAAAAAAAGAAGAGCUGUCGUACAUUGUAUCUUGCAGAAUUUUUGUAGUGAUCGUCCAACAUUAGAUUGUACUAGUAAUCUACGACUAGGAUUGACAAGGGUAAUCACUUGACUUGUUUGGUCCUCAGGAUGUUUCCCUCUGAUUUUUCGCAGACGAGUUUUUUGGUCCUCCGGAAGUAUCCCUCUGAUUUCGCACGUCCAGUUCGUCUCCUUGGUCAUCCCCAAGAUUUUUUCGCUCUCUUUAUCCUCCUGUCAAAAAUUGGGUGCAGAAUGAGCCCCAAGUCAAGGCUCAAAUCAUCUCCUCCACUCAACUAAAAGUCAGUCAUGGGGAACAAUCCGCCAUGAUCGCCUAGAUAGUGAAGAUCCUAUACUUCAUAUGAUCGCAGGACGGUUGACCCAACAUAAUACCUGCAAAAGUUUAGCAUCUCAAAGCUUUCAUCACAGUGUAAGAAUUCAUCCUAAAGAAAGCACAAUGCAAGAUGCCCACAUAGCUUAUGCAGGCUAUCAGGAUCUUAUAGACCGAACCUGAACCAAACCAAACAUGUAACAGCAACUGCCACGAAAGGGAAACGGAACAAAUCAGACUGCCAUAUUAUCCACUUGACAACAAGAAGGGAAUAUCAUUACAUUACAAUUUCUUCCAUUUCUAAUAUAGCCUCCAAAUCAAUAUUCACAUUACAGAAAAUUACGUUGCUUGCCAACCUCAUUUAAGGAUGAAUUAAUUCAGUUUCUUGACAUCAAUUUUAUUUUUCAACCAAGCACAAUGAAAAACACUUGAAAGGUUACAAAGUUUUUCAGGCAUGCCAGGUCCUGCUUCAACACUAUCCCAUGGCAUACUUCUGAGUCCAGCUGCGAGCAGUGGCCUCGUACUUAGCCCUGUCAGUCUUGUACAUGUGAGCAAUCUCGGGCACCAAGGGGUCAUCAGGGUUUGGAUCCGUCAACAAGGAACAGAUGGAAAGUAGGACCUGCCACGAAAUUUCCAAAUAGGUCAAAAAAGAUGCAAUUUCAGGCUAGUUAAAACCAAAUCUACAUCUUAAAAGGAAGCCACGCUGUUGCAGAUCCUAUGAUAUAUGCCAAAGAAACUACUAUUUGAGUUUCAAACAUGAAGAAACUUGGUAUGAAUUCAUGGCAUAACCUUGAAAAGAAUUUGCAAAACUACGUUACAUGCACAAGAAAUCAAGCAUGAUGUGUUAAUAAGUCAUUCAGCCAAGAACUAAUGCGCUUUUAAAAUUUACUGUAAGAACAAUAUCAUUGAGUUGCUGGUGCUUCUACGACAAAGCCUACAUAUUGGUGGAUACCUAAAUUAGACUAAAUUAAACCUGCUCUGACAACAGCCUCUCAUGUUUCUCAGAAGUUCAGCCUCCUGAGUUUGUCAGAAGUUUAUCUGAAUUGUGAUUGACAACAGCCUCUUAGAAUCAGAUUGACGAUAAUAGACCAAAUUAUAUAAAAACAUCUAAUUUCAGAUGAAAACAACUCACUUAAUUACAGACACCCAAAAAGAGAAAGUUUGAAGUCCAGUAUAAGGUGGCUGCAUCCUACCUUGUUAUAUACAAACAUAUAUACUUCAAAAACUUUUCAAUUACUUCCAAGCAUGUUGCAAGAGUUUAUGUAGAGUUAAAUGGUAAAUGCAAGCUUCCAUCCAAAGAAAACCAGAUCUUAAUUCCCAACUCUUUUAAACUGACGCACUGUUAGCCUUUCUUAUUUGUUUCCACUCUCUGUGCUCAGCUAAUUUCACAAGGUAAGACAUGUUACAUGAGAACCGAGGUUCAAAAAAACAGCUGUACACAGUCCAUGGAUAUGCACAUAAACCAUAUAAAUUAGUACAGAAACGUGAAAUGAAAACAACAGCAGACAAAAAAAGACAUAAUUCAAACCUUUGAUAUGGUUAGUGCCGGACUCCACUGCUCUUUAAGAAUGUCCAGACAUAUACUUCCAUUGCUGUUAAUAUUUGGGUGGAAAACCUUAGUCCUAAAUGCAACCUGUAGUGCACAAAGUUUGUAAGGUCACACAGCAGUGCAAAAGCAUGCAAAGAAAUUUGAAACGCAAGAAAUUCUUGUAGUUAGAAAAGAAUGCACAUGCUAUUCUACCAAUGCACAUACGGCACACAACUGCUGUCCGUAACUGUGAUCAUGGAGUGAAAACUUAACAAACCACCAACCUUGACUAAAAAUAAGGCCCAUGAACAAGCAAUAAACAAUUUUCAAUCACUGAAAAUAUCAGCCCACUACAAGGUCGGUCAUUGAUGAAAGCUAGUGAGACAUGUCUCUAAGCACCCUAUACAUUUCAAGUAGGGGAAGAAAAAUAAAUUCCCUAAAGUUAUGCAGUUAUGAAACAUCCCCACCUCCCUAAUAUCUAAAAAGAAAAGAAAGACAUUUCGGUAUAGGACGGUGACAGUUCCAUCUCUCAUAAAAGCUUAUGAUUUGACAUCAGUGAUGUUUGACAGGCAGUCCUACUUGGCUGUUCCACUCACAUCAGACACCGCCAAGAUCCCCAAAGUGAUGAAUUCUGAAUCAUUAUUUUCCCUUUGUUUCUUUUUAAUUUGGGCAGGGGACCAAUUGUGCAUUCAGCAGUGAAUACUUCUUCCAAAUACACUUAAAUCAGUAAGUGCUCUAUAUCAUAAGAUAUCAGUGGAAUAUAAUAAAGGACCAAUCAUCAUACCUUUGGGGGCUUAAAUGGGUAAUCCGGGGGAAAGUGAAUAGAAACUAGAAAAACACCUCCUGCGUAAGGACUAUCAGCAGGUCCCAUAAUAGUUGCUUGCCAAUGGAACAUAUCUUCAGCCACUGGACCUGCAUUAGUGCAGCACCAAUAGUGAGAUUAAUAGUUUGGCUCAAUAAAAUGAAAAACACACGUCAAUAGUGAUGACAAUUAAAAAUAUUCCAAAUCUUGAUAGAAACAUUUGUUAACUCUGACCACCCUACCCUAUAAUUUUGAUGACACAUCCCAGCAAAUGCAUCAUCCGUAGAAACGAUAAGUGAUAACAUACAAAUGAUGCAUCGGAACAAAAUCAUAGUGGAUCUAUAAAUCAAAACAAGAAAUGUCCAACAAGGGCAAAAGAGGCAAACAAGUACUAAUACUUUGGAGCCAGAGUUCAGAGUUCAAAAGAGCCAGAGUUCAGAUAAUUUCAUGAGAAAUUAUAAUUUAACACGAGACAGCUUUGGCCACAUAAACAUAAAUAACAGUCUGAAAAAAGCUUAAAAACCAUUCCUUUACAGAUGAGAGUAUGCCAAUGUCAAAAAUUCCUCCUCUUUGACAUGAAAUUUAGUAUAAAUAAAAUCAGAAACAUAAUUGGAAUGGUUUGAAUAUAUUCAACAACUUGUCCAAAAGGAAAGUACAUCAAAUAGUCACACACGCAUCAGGGGCAUCAUCACACCACUCAAAUUCGGGCAUGUCAUAACUUAAAAGAGUCUAUACAAUGCACACAAAGACUAAACUUUGCCGGGAGUAUUGAUUGAAUUGAUCAGACAGUAAAUCAAAUUUUGAAGACUAUUUUAUCUUCCAACAGUCUAAUUAGCUAUCAUUUAGAUGAUUGCACUCUGUGGUCAUUAUGUAAGACCCCAUCAACUGUAAGACCCCAUCAACAAAUUUAACCGGCCAUACUACUGAAAAAAACCUCAAGGAACGCUCUAAUCAGAUAAGUACGAAAGAAGCUAGGCAGGAUCUGAAGCACACUUUGAAGACCAAGCAGAGCAAAACAAACAAACAUCUUUAACCAAGGCAAAGCUCCCAAAUCAGCUAUAUGAGGUAGCAUUCAGCUGGUCAGAGCCAAAGCCCCCAAAUCAGCCAUAUGAGGUAGCAUUCAGAUAGUUUUAUUUAUUCGAGUGUCGAAACUCGUACAUAUCAACUGCCAACAAAAUUACAAAAUCAGAAAAGGUAAUAAGUAGAUAAAAAUAGAUACUUGAUCCAUCUAACAGGUAAACUACUAAGAGAACAAAGAGGAAGAGACAAAAGGAUAAAACGUACCAGCACUACACGAUGUGGGAGGAUCCUUCUGCAAAUCCUUGAGCUCCUUCAAUAUCCGUUUUGAUGCCAUCACUUAAAUCUUAACUUCCAACUUCAGAUCAGAACCUAUGCCAGCAAAAAUAAAAGUUCAUUAAGCACAACAAAGACCCAAAAUAAAUAAAUCGAUAAAUAAAACUCUUUCAAGGCUUAAAAAAAAAUAUAUAUAUAUACACACACACACAAAGGCCAUUCAAAACAAAGACCCCAUCAGAAAACAGAAAAGGACAGUCAACCCCGGACGACCGUCGAGGCAAAUGAAUGAACAAAUUGCGAGAUCUAAACACAUCCCUCGCAACAUAAAAAUCUAAAACAUGGGUUCUUAAACAAAAGAUUGAAGGAACAAAGGAAACCUGAGGAAGGAGAAGCGUGCGGCGGGGAGGGUGGGGGGAAGAACUUGGACACACGGAGAAUGCAGAGACGAAUAAAGAAGAAGCAGAGGAAGAGCAGAAGAAAGAGGAUAUAUUGAAUGAAUUAUUGAUGAUUGAGGGAAAGGGUUAGAAUAUAUUCUCAACGGUGUCGAAAGAUAUAAAAUUUUAGCUAAUCACAGUAGCGUCACUCCUAAAAGAUAGAUAAAUAUAAAACAAAAAGUAAAUAAAUAAAUGUGGAAUUAGCAGUAGAAAAAGGAGGGCAGGGCUGCCCGGAAGGGAAGAGGGGGUCCAAUUUGAUAUUCUAGAAUUUUGGAGGUGCAGUCGUAAUUGGCGUACAAUCAACGGCACCCCUCUCUCUACCUUUAUACGUUACCACUAAUCCCCGAAAGACAACAACUAACAACUGCUACUAAUUGAGACUAGGGGCCGCCCCCCAGUCCCAUCCCCUGCAAUUGGUUUGUAGAAUUCUUUCUUCUCACCGCUUUAGGAGUGCCGGAGACUCGCUGCGGCGACUUUUACCCUUCCGCAGUCGGCUGGUUUCGAGGUUUUACUGCUGCAAUAACACAUUUUAUCAUUAUUGUCCGGAUUCUGGUUCUUCUCCUCUUCUUUUAUUAAAACUGUAAGGGUAAAAAACAAAAAAAAACUCGGUGAUAAAUCUAAUACACAGAAAAGUUCCUUACGAUUUUAAAAUAUACAAUACGACAUCUCAUAUUUUGAACUAAAUUAUAAAGGUGACGGAAUUCGUUAAGUUUAACGGAAAUGACUUAUUGAAAUCUAAAAAAAAAAAAUUUAUACCUAAUUUUUAUCAAAUAUACCCAUUCUACCCCUUAACCCUCAAUUCUCUCUAUUUAGAGAAUAAAACAAAUAAUUUUUUUGAAUUGUCUUUUGCUUAAUUAUAUCAAGACAUUUUUGUCAUUUCAUUCAUUUCCAUUAAGUUUAACAGGUUCAGUCACAUUUACAAUUUAGUUCAAAAUAUGAGGGAUCGUGUUGUAUAUUUUGAAAUUACGGAAGACUUUUCUGUGUAUUAGGUUUACCACAAGGGUUUUUUUUAUUUUUUAGCCAAAAUGUAAUUGUCCGAGUCAAAAUAGUAAAAGGACAAAUUGAACCGAGUAACAACUAACAACAGAACAGAGAUGUUGCCCAUAAUGUCUAGCUCCUCGUAUUAGGGGAUUCUUAACAGAAUAUUUCUCUAUUAUUGGAUUUCUUAAGCUAGAUUCUUGAAUAUGUGCACAGGCGUAUUACCUCAGCUCCUCGUCCCCAUUCUCCGAUACAAAAUAAUCCCCUUGUAUUUAGUGUACUAUUGUUCAUUCGUUUGAUAAGUAGAGUUCAACGAGUAAUUGUUUUAUUUGUAAUGCGAUCCGUACUCGAUAAUCAGUAGAUCAGUAUUAAGUACACAUACAGGUGUUUGAUAAGUUUCACUAGGGCGUAAAUUUGAGGGGGGUUUUAUUCUUUUUUAAUAUAGAAAAAGGCAGAUUUGAUUUUUGCAUUGGGGGAAGUUCUGCCAAUGAUAUAGAGGAAUAGGGUGCAAACGAAUCGACUAGUUCGCGAACAUGCUCGGUCAAAACUCGGUUUCGAGCUCGCCUUGACCGAGUUCGAGCAACUCGAGUUACUUAACGAGUGGAGUUCGAACUUAAUAUGUGAAGUUCGAAAGUUCAUUGAACUUAAUCGAGCUUCAAUAAAUAUGUUUUUUUUUAAAUUUUUUUAUUUAUUAGUAUGAUAAAUCUAUUUUGUCCUUUGUUUAAAAUUAUAUUAAAUAUAAAUUGAUACUUCUUAAUCUCGAUUAGACUCGAUUGGACUCAAUUGAACUCGAUAAACAUGAGCUCGAGUUCGAAGUCAAGUAAUACAAAAUAAAAUCGAGCUCGAGCUUAACUUUUAAGAGAUCGACGAGUUUGAACUCGAAUUUGAGUCUAAGUUUUUAAACUCUAGUCAAGAUCAGGAUUAGACAGUACAAUUGUUAAAAUUUUUCCUUUUAUCCUUGUAAAUUUGACGAGCUCAAAUCGAUUCGAUUACACCCGAGAGAGAGAGGAGACAGAGAGGACCCUAGUCAAAAUGAAUAUAAAGAGUUGAAGAUGUUAGUGUAGCGGACAAACUGGGCCGCGACUAAUGAAUACGCUGGAGCUGAUUGGCAAAAGCUGUAACUGAUUCAAACUGAGCUGUGAUUGAAUCUGUCAAAGGUUAACCCCAAUUUGGACCGUGAUAGAAACGAGAAGAAAAUAGCAAAGACAGUUGCAAACAGAAUUGUACUAUCUGAGAAUAACACGGAGAGAAGAAUAAAUUUGGUAACUUUGUUGUAAUCCACGUGUGAUGAAAUAUAUGAUGAAUGGUGUUGAUUUUUGAAAACUAGUUUUUAAAUUAAUUUUAUUGGAACGUAACACAGAGGAAUUCUUCCAACAUAACGGAGCCUAGUUCUUUUGUAUUUGGCUAUUAACUCCUUUAUUGCACGGAGUUUUUUUUUUUUUUUUUUUGGGGGGGGGGGGGUUUCGUAUUACAAUUUGUUUUAGCCUCAUCAUGCUACCUAAUUGCUAAUAUAACAUUUGAUUACCAAAACUAGAGAGAAAGAACAAAAUUUGCAGAGCAGAGGAAGAAAAACUAGGAGAAUUUUCUUGUUAUACAUUCGAUCUGCCUCCAUAAAAAAUAUCCAAAGAAAAGAAGACUAUGCCCGGCGACAGCUCAGAGAGGAAAGAAGGGAGCAGGGCUGCCUACAAGCGUUACUCAAGAAAAGAUAAUCCAACCCUUCCUGGAAUAUAUUAUUAAUCAUCUAAACAAACAUUCAACACAGCCAAUGCCUCACCAAUUCUUGCAUCUUUUGCCUUCGCAAAGGAUCAAGUCAUCAUCAUCAUCAACUGCGCAAAUUGGAGAAAAUAAGUCCAUGAGCUCCAAAAUGGACGAAAAGAUACAAGCUCUAAUGAGUUACCUGACGGGGGUCAUUUUGACCUGACAUUUGGGCACUUCUCCACUGUCGAGUAACCCCUGAUAGAUGUCCUCGCAGAGGACUUUGAAAGGGAAGCCCGGCAUCUUAUGUCCAUUAAUGACAUAAUGUACAACACCUCCAACGAUCACGUUCAUAAGAAUUUGGUGAUUUUGGGAUUUCUGUUUCAGGUCCUUAGCAUCAGCCUCUGUGACGGGUUCCUUUUGAAGCUGAGCAUGCAACUUCAACCGUGCGGAAUUCUGAGGUUUCUGUUCCAUAUCUGGAAGAUGCACCUUGCCUAAGUCGAUGUCCUGAGAGGACAAAUCAGCAGUCAACGAGGUAUAAAACACCGGCAUUAUCCCAUUCUUGUUGGUGGCGUUCAGGUCUACUUGGAUAUCCGUGGUUAAGAAUGUAGUAUCAGAACUUUUGGUCGUGGAAAUAUCAAGCCUGUUAAUCUGGAGCCUCUGGAAAUGGAAUUCUGGCAUGUUGGAUUGGAAGAAGGAGAAGAAUAUGGCUCCAACAAUGAGAAACAUCACGACCAAUAUGCCUACGAUGAGGGAAGCCCAUGCGCAGCAGAUGUUGCAGCCGGAGUUGCGGGGUGGCGUAUUGUUUCUCUGACCUUCGACGUCGAUCACAAAAGAUCGAGGGGAUUCAGAUUGCUUGAGAGUCGACUCGUUAAAUGAAACGCGGCGAGACAGGUUCCUUUGAGGGCGUUGGUUGCCCGAUGGCUGGGAUUGACCACCUCUGGAAUUAUUAGCAGCCAAACCCGCCAUUGCGAAACAAGCUCCAAGACUACUCCCUUCGCGGAGGGAGAAAUUCAGCAUUCAUAGUUUUACCAGAGAUAUUGGAUCGGGAUUAUGUCUGCAGCAACAGAGUUCCUUUUUCUCUCCUAACGUAUAGGAACACCGCACAGCUAUUUUAAGUAAAUUAAAGGUUUGAGAAGAAGAAUAAUUGAACAAAAGUAACAAACCAAUCUCGGAAGAAAAAGACCACGAAUCUGCUUAAAAUCAUAAAUCAGCUUUAUGAGUCGGAUAAAGAAUCCUUACAACAAAUCAUGAAAUGGGAAAAGGUACAAUCUUUUAAAAAACUAAUAAUGGACUACAUCCCUAAGUCGAAAUGAAGCAAUCAGAUUAAUUCACACUCUAAGGAGCUAUACGCGCGGGCAAGGUCACAGUUAGGAAUGGAGUACUGAAACAGGCACGCGUGAAUUGAAUCAAAUAUUGAAUCCCCUUUCAAAAUACAAAUGGGAAACCGCAAAAAAGAUAAACAAGGAGAGCCUCCAAGGAGUCAGGGGGUCUGCACAGUUGAGUCCUUGGAUUUGUUCUCCUCUGAAGAUGGCCGAUUCUCCGAGUCAGAUUGCCGGACCUCUUCAAUCAUCCUAACUACUUCAUCCAUGUUUGGUCGCAUGUCUGGCACCUUGGCAACACAUGCCAUGGCUAUUUGCAGCAUCUGCACCAUUUCUUCUUCAAUAUUUUGGAACCUCAUCAACUCGACAUCAAAAACUUCGGCUGUCCAUUCCUCCCUGACAACUGAUUGCACCCACCUUGGGAGAUCAACCAUGUCAUCCCGUCCUGGAGACUGAAUUGGUUGUUUUCCAGUUAGCAUCUCCAGUAGCAAGACGCCGAAGCUGUAAACAUCUGAUUUAUGAGUGUGCUUUCUGGUUUCCAUAACCUCUGGUGCACGAUAUCCUGCCUGCCGAGAUCUAGUGGCUGGAAAGUUCAUGAGUGGGGCCAAGCCAAGAUCAGAGACACAGCCAUCAAGAUCUUGAUUGAGGAGGACAUUGGAAGAUUUAACAUUUCCAUGAGUAAAUUUUGGGCCUCCCACAGAAUGGAUAUGGGCAAUGCCUCUAGCAGCUCCAAGGGAUAUCUUAACUCUCGUCUCCCAAUCUAGUGGUGCUCUCCCAGAGGACCUGUUUCCUGUUAUCAGAUAAAUAUUAAGAAUCCACCAAGACAUAUCGGCUAAAGUCAAUAGGAGUGCAUUAUUGCUCUUGAUACUUAAUCUAGAUAAAAAAGGAAGAGAGAGUGCACAACAAGAAAAAAGAGGAAGAUGCACUUCAAAUCCAGCUCACACCUGAACUAUGAGACACUUCUACUGAUCCCCAAUGUCCAGGUACCUUCAGUUAGAGUUGGCAGUGGUAAAGUUCCACUUUGGAAGGGAAUUCCAGAUUUUGUUGCAUUCAAAUACAUAAUCAACUUAAGCACAGCACAAAAACAAAGGAAACUAUAUCACCCAGUUAUGUGGUCAAGUAUUAAGAGGAAGCUUGUUUUCAAGCACCAGGUAAGACCAUAUGCCUUUUAGCUCUGAUCAGUUGUUCUACUUGCCUCAAGCAAAUGUUUCAUUCCAAGCCAACAGGCAGCCCUGUUUUGUGACUUGGUUGGAUGCUAUUCUGAUUAUUAUACUUUAUGCAAGUAAAUUAUUUGGUUUAAAACCCAAGUAAUUGGGGUCACUAAAUGAGCAGCUGAAACAAGAGAGUGGAGCAACAGAGCUACAUACCAUGUAACAAAGCUGACAAGCUGCUAUUUGAGAAGUAAUCAUAGACCAAAAGCUUUUCAUCCUUGGAAUAGUAAUAAGCACGUAGAGGUACUACAUUUGGAUGCUGUCCGACUCUCCCAAUAAUUUCCAUCUGCUGUUCGAAGUCCUUUUUCCCCACAAUUACUUCUUUCAACCUUUUAACAACCACAGUCGUAGACUCCUCCAAGACAGCUUUAUAUGCAGUCCCAAAACUACCUUUUCCCAGCACUUCAGCCGAGGCCCUCAAUAAAUCCUCCAGAUCAAAGUUAUAAGAGCAUCCCUCAAAGAAAACCAGCUUGUUCUUUUCAGGUUCUUGGACUCCACUACCAAACUCCUCUCUAGGUUUCUCACUCCUUCCACCGCUGGAGGAUUUUCCUUUUAGUACACUGCCACCAUCAGUUUGCCUUUUCUUAAGGCAACACAAAAGGAAUAUUACCACUAUAAGAAAGAGGAUUAGAGCACCACCAACUGCAAUAGCAAUAAUAGCUCCUAGAGGGAGUUUCUUUUUGGAGCUUUGUUUUCCUUUUGGGGGAGGUGGAGAAAAAUUGGGGGUAGGAGAAGGUGGAGGAACAAGAGGAAGACAGGGACUCAGAGGCGCCCCACAUAAGAAAGGGUUCCCUAAAAAUGAUGAAUUGGGGAAAAUUUGCAGGGCAUGUGGUAUGGAACCAUUAAGGUGGUUGUAACUAAGAUUCAAAUGUUUGAGCCUCGGAAGGGUGAUAUUAGGAAUGGUACCAGAAAGCGAGUUAUUCUGCAGAUUCAAUCCAGUGAGUCGAGUCAAAUUCUGAAAUGUUAGCGGGAUUUUCCCAGUAAAGGAAUUAAAUGAUAGAUCCAAAACAUUGAGUUGCGAAGAGAAAGAAGUUGGAAUAUCGCCGGAGAGAUUAUUAUGUUGAAGGAAGAGGUGCUGAAGCGAAGGGUGGGAAGAAAUAUCAGAGGGUAGAUUACCACUGAGGAGAUUGGAUCUGAGGCUGAGAAUCCUCAGUGCAUCCAAUUUUCCCAGUGUGUUGCUAGGGAUAGGACCUUUGAGUCCAACCCCAGGAAGCCGAAGAGCAAACACACGAUUGCCAUCUGGAUAACAUUUGAUUCCAACCCAAGAUGUGCAGAUAGGCCUAUUAAGAGUCCAAUUUAGCCUCCGACGGUGGGGAACUCUAUCUGCAAAAUCCAGCAAGGCUUGUUCAUCACCUUUCAAAUCACCAAGUGCCAGAGGCAGAAGAAUGACAUUGACAACGAGCAAAAAAUGCAGAUAGGUGUUGCAGAGUUUCAUCAGGUGAUUGCUAGAUUUAUGGGAGAGAAGAUGGCACAGGUAUUGCUGGCCUGUCAACAUCACAGGAAACAUUGAAACAUCAGUAACUCUCUGCAAAAUAUAAGUGGACCAGAAACCAGCACUUAAGACACUUCCAAAUGAUAAUGGCAUACUAUGAAAACAACCAGAGUACUCAUAAGAACAUAAAAACGUCCUCCAUGCCUCACUGCAGCAAGUCAGCUGGUCAGUGGAAAGCAAGACUACUUUAAAUCCAGCAAAAAAAAAAAAAAUUUGUUUAAAGGACUUUAAGCUUAUGGUAUGGUUUAAUAGCACAUAUAACUUACUAGGUAGAUGAUUUGAAAGGGAAAAGGUAAUAGUAGUGUCAACAAUAGUUCGAGUUAAAAAAUUGCAAGGACCUUUCUUGCUGUGAAAAAAGCCAGUUUUAUAAACCUCGGCAUAUUAUAUGAAAGAAGUGCACAAUGAAGCCAGAUGACAAACUAAGCACUUUAAGUUUUUUGACUACCAAAUAGAAGUUUUGCCGGAUGGAAUUUGGGUACCAAAUGUUGGAAAUGGAACAAACCCUGCAUCAUUUCCAUAGUUUUUGCCAAAACUCCAUUCAACAAUCUUCAUAUAGCAGGCAGACAACUAUCCACAAGCAAAGAGCACAUAAUAUAUCUUCAUUAUAACCAAAAUUACAACCAAUCAACAUAUAGUUGGCAUGAAGGACUCGAUUGUUAAUUUAUGAGGAUCAAUUAGGAAGCCUUCAUAUUCGGAGAUAUCACCAGAAGCAUAACUUUCAUAUGAGCUAACCACUAAUUAUAAUGGAGUUCUAGAGUGGCCUUCCUGGGAAGGCAGAAAGGACUGUGAAAUAGAUAGAUAAACUAAAACACAAGCACUUAAAAAUUCCACAUACAAACACACAAAGUAAAUGUUACACCUAGGGUUCUUUAAUCCAUACAUCCAAAAAGAAAAGCAUUCCCAAGCAUGUAAAAGUAGCAAAAGAAUUGAGAAAAGACACAUUCAGAAAGCAAGAAGUUAGAAAAAGGCAUCCAAGCAAAGGAAAAAGCAGAGCCCGUAUGCUUUUUCUUAUCAUCUAUUAUGCCACACAAGUGAUUUAAUAGGCUCAGUUUACAAGGAAGUGGAUGUACUGAGAUAUUGAAAGAGUCACACGAACUUUUUUCAUCUUCUUUUUUCGCCAAAAAGUAGCAAAUGAAUUCCUAAGGAGAAACAAAUUCACUCGUUGCAUUAGGUCGAUCAUUCAUAUAAGAAUUUACUAAUCUAAACAUUUUCACUAUUAUAGCAAAUGAAAUUAUUACGUCUCAUUUAACAAAAAAUUAAAGGCUGUAUUGAAUUGCUAGCACCAACAAAAUGCUAUAACAUUUAACAAAUCAACAAAAAUUCUAGGAAAACGGCAGAAAGAGAGAUUUCAGCAAAUUACUACCUACAACAGCAGUUCUCUUUGAGCUGAGGAUUAGUUGGGCCUAAUAAACAACCCCCCAAGUCACAAUUUUGUCAAAAAAAAAAAAGAAGCUCAUUUUGUCAAAAUUAGUAUGACAAUCUUAGAAAACUUCACAUAGUUGACAAGCAUUAAUUGUUUAAACCCAUAACCACAACCCUUUAGCUUUUCCAAUUUAAUCACUUGGCAGAAUUUGACCCAGUAAACAUUGUGAAUGAAACAUCAUAAACGCCAGAAAACUGCCCCUUUUAUUCACUUAGAUCUGCUUCUCUGUAAAUUACACGCACUAACUCAAAAGGUUAAGAAAUGACAAAACUCUGGGCUCCGAGCCUCCGCAAAACAAGUUUCACAAGGCAAAUAAAAAGGUAAAAAAUCUCUUCAAAGAAAUUACCUUAAAGGAUACCCGGUGAAUUUCAAGACUGCUUGGCUUGAAAGUGGAAAGUGCAGCUGCAUUGAAACUUCAAAGCCAAAAUGCAGAAAAGGAUUGUUGUCCGAGGACUCAAACUAGUAUGAUACAGCAACCACAUUGAGGUUAAAAAAAAAAAACAAAUGUUGAAGAUCCAGAAGCAGAACGGUGAGGACCCUCUGGAGCAGUUGAGCUAAAUUGUCAGGUAAAGAUGAGGUUUCGAGAGUGAGUAAUAGAUCUGUAGCAUGGUCAUACAAGAAAGAGAAAAGAAAGGGGAAGAAGUAGAAGAGGUUUGGUUGAGUGAAGAGGAAAGGAAACUGAACAAAACUGGGAAAGGUGGAAUUUUUUUUUGGAGUGAAGAGGAUUAUGAGAGUGAGGUGUCACCUGUGGACUUUGCUUUCCCUCACUCAUUCACUCGCCCUCAACUCAACCACUCCAGUGUGGGCAUUCAUUAGUGUGUGACUGUGUGUGGGAAGAGAGAGAGGAGAGAGAGGGGCGAGAGCGAGACUGCGAAGGGGCGGAUGAUGCGGGGGUAGUUCUUGUUCUUUCUCUUGUUGUUUUAGACAGACAGAAGAGCGCUUUUUUUUUUUUUUUCUUUUUCUUUUUUUGAGAGAGAGAAAGGAGUGGCGGGGGGUUUUGGCUUGUGUGGAGGGAGGAAGGAGGAAUCUUUAUACAGAUACAGUCAUACAGAUACAGUAGACUGAAUCUCUAUCUGCAAUUUUUUUUUGCUUGAAAGGAACUCCUUUUGUUUUUCAAUAAUCGAGAGAAGAUUUCUACUACAAGAAUUGUGAGAAAUGAACCGGCUCUUUAAAAACAAUAAUAUAAUUAAUAUAGCCCAUCAAUCACUACGAUUCUCAACAGAAGCUACCAUUGUGGGUGAGGUUUUGAGUUGAAUAGAAUGUACAAUUUUCUCCUUUUUUUUUUUUUCCCUUGCCAAAAACUAAUGGGAAAAGGCAGCGCAAAAAAGGUUUUGAAGUUUGAAAGUCCAGUUUUGUGUUUUGAAUUUCCCCAAAAUGAUGAAUGGAAAUAGGAUGCGAAGAAAGGAGAAAGCAAACAUGUCAUUAUUUGACUUAAAGAAAAGUUAAAAAACCAUGCGGUACAACUACGAACAUGAAUGAAACAAUUAUUAUUAUCUUCUUUCCUUUGAUUUGAUUAAAGGGACGAUGAACAGGAGGAGUGUCGAUGAACUUGACCCAAUGACGCCUCCCAUCAAAUCUUUUUCGGCAAUUUGGAUCUUUAGAGGUCAAACGGACCCUUAUUCUCUUCGUCCAUUGUCGUCUCUCGGACGCUUUUCUUCUUCAUUAUUACUACUACUGACAGACGAUAAUCGGGACAACCACACAUUAAUCGUGGAAAUAAAAUUUGACCAACGCAUUAAACUACUUGCUGUAAUAAUUACUAUAUAAUACUUUUUGUGAAGUUACGGAUAUCAGAUAAAAAUAUAUCUGUCAUACAAGCAAAUAAUAAACGCCUUUCCAAACACAAUCUUUAUUUAAAAUAUUAUUUUAUUUACGUCGUCAUAAAGACGGUAAAAAGGUCAAACUCCUAGCAAAAAUCUCACCCUGGUCAGAUCAAUGGCCCGUAUGGAACUGAGAAUUUUGAUAGUAUGAAACAAUUAAGUUGUUGGGCAAAACAGAGUGCAGGUUAGCAAUUGCAUUUACUCUUUGCGGAAGUGGUUGGCAUUCAUUUCUUUCACAUGAAGAGGAUCAAAUACUCCGCUGCUACAACACUUGUACUAGUAUUCUUCAUCUCGCUAUAUUCUUCUUGCGUUGUUUAUGUGAAAAGACGAGGAAAGUAUUGAUGACCUCUGAGUUAAAUCAACAGUAGUAUUGAAGGGUACUACUAGUCAAUAAGGUAUUUGAGUGGUUUGGUUUCUAUACAAGACCAGAGGUACUUGAACUGUGCAAAGUAUAGUUUGAGUCCCAUGGAAAUUUAGUCGAAUGCAGAUAAGGGGCAGGGACCUGAACAGUCAACGGCCAAAUUUUGGUCAAAAAAAUGUGCAGUCUAGAUUACAAGUUGUACAUCAAUUUUCACAACGUGUGUGGAGCCCGUAAAUUUUUGUACUAAAGUUACACGUUGUGCAAACAAAGUUACGCCGUGUGCAAUCAAAGUUACGCGCCGUGUAAAAUGAUCAAAAUGCCCACUGUCCGUCGAAUGCAUAGCAUCAAAUUAUUUUGACACAUGUUGAAUGAAUAGAAAUAUAUGAGAAAAAUUGAGCAUUAAAGCAAUUAAAUUUGACAAAUAUUAUUUGAAUUCUCAUUUUUGUUAAUCAUACUUUCGUUAUUAUUUUUAUCGUAUAAUUUUUGUUUAUUGUAGGAACACAAUUAACACAAUAUGGAGUACAAAUAAAAUUUCUUUCAAAAUUUGUUGUGAAAAAAAAUUCCAUCUAUGAAGUCAACCUCUCUAUUUAUUGUGAUUUGAAUAAAGAUUUUUGAACCACUAUGAUGAUGAUACCCAAAAAGGAGAGAAAUUUAAUACAUUAUAAGUGCAUUGGUGUAUUAAUAGUAGUAUAGUUUUAGUUAAAACUAAAUCAAAAGCAGUCGUAAUACUUUUAGUACUUUAAUAAUGAGAAAACGUUUAGAAAACUACUAAAACAUAGCACAAUCUUCAACAUCAAUAUAACUUACUAUAAACUUUCAUAUUUUUCUUUCUUUUGAUAGAAGAAUCCAGUUUAUCUAUUUAAAUUCUACUUAAAGGUGAUAACAUUAUCCUGCAGCUCCUGAAUAUAAAUAGCAAAGUUAGAUAAAAAUAUGAAUUGCCAUGUUUUCUGGUCUACAUAUACAAAUUAGAAUUGAACUAUUUUUUUAUUGCAAAAACAUCUUCAUAAUCAAAAUUGAAAUUUCUAACAAUUUUUUUUCAAGUCACACUCUAAGCUGAAAGCCUCAAUUAUGACUUCCACCACCGACUGCAAUCCUUGUAUACCAACCCAAUUCAUACUACAACACUUGAGUAAUUAAAAAACAAACAAAACUUAACUUUAGUUUAAAUAUAUACAAAAUCUUAUUGGAUCCUUCAAUUAAAUUUAAUAGGCCAUAAAGUAAUUGCAACAAGAAAGAAAUGGAGAAAAACGGAGGUACAAGAAUGCCUAACUAGAUUUUUCUUGGUGAAAACAUCACAUGAUAUAUUUUUCUUCUAAACAAAUACACAAAAUUGUAGAUAAUUACAAAAUGUAACCAGAAAAUAAAGAAAAGGAAACAAAAUGUGAAGUAAGAAAUCAAAAUGUGAAGUAAGAAAUCAAAUCAUAGGAGAAGAAAAUAAAAGAAUGAAUUUUUGUUCUAUUAUUCAUAGAAAAUGAUCAUUGGUAUAAAAUGAAUUCUAAAUUUUUUUUUACAUAUUUUAAAAUUUCACCUUUUAUCCAUGAAGAACUACCAAAUAAAACACCAUCCUAUAAAUUUAACAAACAAAUGCUAGUUGGCUAUAACAUUAUGAUUAAAAAAAAUAGAGCAAACAUGCGAGAUUAGAGAUGAAGAAAAAAGGAAGAAAAGAAAAUGUAAAAUGGGAUAAAAAAAUAAUAAAGAAUUCUUUUUGCUAAGUAGUUAUCAUCUUGACAAAAAAAAAAAAAAAAGAACAUGGCAACAAUCUUAGUUAGAUUAGUUUAAAAAAAAUAAAAAAUAAAAAAGGUGAGGGAUGACAGUAGUUACUGCAAAAAGAAAAAGAAGAGAUGGAAUUGAUUUUUUCUAGGAGAAAAAAUAUUUUAAUCCUUUAGCCCAAUUGAAUCAAAAAAGGGAAGGAAAAAUUCUGGUAAAAUAAUCAAAGGUCCACUUGUCAAAAAUAUAUACAAUACAUGUGUAAAAAAAAUGGUUAGCUACAGUAACUUGGCUUUCUUUUUAUAUACUAGGUAGAUGUAAAGAGAAUCAAACUUAAGAAGGUUGAGAUAACUAAAAUCAAGUCUCCUGUCAACCUCAUAUAAGAAGUCAAAAUUUUAAUAAGAAGUCGGGUCUAAUCAAGUAUUGUCCCAACUUCUCCAACGGGGAUCAAUGUUUUAAAAACCGGACCGUUAAUCGAACCGGUGAAGUGAAAGGGUCGAGGUUCAAUCGGUCGGACCGGUUCAACCUCGGUUCAAUAAAUUUUUUAAAAAAUAAUUUAUAUAAAUAUAUAUGUGCACAAAAUAAGACAUGUAAUGGAUAAUUUAAUACUUUAUAUGAUGAAAAGUUUACUAUUUUUGAAUAACUUGGAUUUUUAAAAAUAAAUUUUAAAACAAAUAAAUUUCAUCUCAAUUUCAAUUAUAUCUACCAAAAAAAUCUUAAAUAUAAUCCAAAAAUAUCACAAUAUUUGAAAUUAUACAAAAUUCACGUCUAUGAGAAUUUAGACAUUGUGAACUUAAAUUUUAAUUUACAUUUUGGAAUUUAAAUUUACAAUUUAAAAAAGGAAGUUUGGAGUUAUAAGAAAAUCAAGAGAAUUGAAAAUAGAAAUGCAAAUUUGAUAAGAAACAAAAAAUGAGAUAAAAGUGAGUGGUUGUGGUAUUAAAUAAAUUGGGUUAAAGAAAAAUAAUUCUUUUUUAACUUUUUUAAAUUUAAUGGACAAAAACAAAAUUAAAAUAUGGAAGAAAACAUCAAUAAAUUAAAAAUAAAGAGAUUUGAUUAAAAAUAAGUGGCAAAAGAAAAGAUGAUAGAGAGAGAGUGUGUGUGUGUGUGUGUGUGUGUGUUGAUGAUUAAAAAAAAAGAGUCAUGAAAGGAUGAUAUUUUGUAAAAAAAAUGGAACAAAAGAAAUAUGAGUGUUUGUUUUAUAUAAAUAAGUUAUCAAAAAAAACUAACAAGAUGUGAUAGUACAACGGUUACUACAUUGGUCUUCUAUUACAAAGGUCUUGAGUUCGAAUCUUGGUAACUACAUUUUGCAAAAAAAAAAAAAAAAAAAAAAGUGGAAAACUCAAAAACCGGAAAUAGCCGGUUCAGCGGUUUCGCGGUCCAACCGGUUUUUGACCGGUUUCUUGACAAAGUCAAACCUGGCAUUGAACCGGACCGGAGCCAUGGCCGGUUCGCGGUCCAACCGGUCGAACCGGCCGGUCCGAUCCGGUUUUCAAAACACUGACGGGGAUUGAAAGCUUUUUUUUUUUUAAUCAUUAUUUAUCUACUUUAUAUUUACUCCUACUUUCAGUUUACAAUCGGAUCAAACGAAUGCACUACGCACCCGUAUAAAUUUAGAGAAAGCCAUUUAAAAUGACAAACCGCGUACAGAGAGAUAAGUGAUGAAAAGUAAGGUUUGAACCCUUAAAAGAUUUUGGUGGUGGGCAACCGCCAUUAGGUUCCAACUUUCUCCACUUGAUAAGCAAAUUCUGGGAUCAUAUGGGACUCCUUUUGUUCAUAAAUUUCUUUUGAGAUUUGUCCCUUCACUUUUUUUUUCCCCAAAAUUUUUAAAAAAAAAAGAGUAAAAUACAUAGAAAGCAAAGCAUGUCAACAUGGAGUAACAUCCCUGAACUUCACAUGCAUAUAUGUUGCUUUCUACGUCAGCAAGAACAUCACUCUGCUUGCUACCUACUCCUUCGUCACAUUUGCAAUCCAUCAAAUGUAUAAUGUACUAUCAAACAGAUUUAGGCACGAUUCAUAUUCCACGAACAAGUAGUAACAACUCCCGUCAUCACCGAAUCUAAUCUGAGUUUUUUUUUUUUUGGAGGAAAUGGUUUUGGUACCUAAUAUGCAUGCAUGCAGGGCUAGUGAAAGUGUGUAUGAAAGUGGUAAAAAAAAAAUUUGUUUUACAGAAAUUCAAAACGGUCGCGCUGUGUAUGUGUAUGGUAUAAAAAUCUUUGACAAAGAACAAAAAAUAAUUAAAGCAAAUGGGGCACUUAAAAAAGAGUCGUCGAGGAAAGAAGAAUCUGCUGCCUUUAAUCUCCCCACUUCCUGCAGGUAUCCAAGAAAACAAAAGCAAAAGGUCUCAUGUAGAAGAUGGGAUGUAUAUAUUAUGUAUGUGGUGAACCGUAACAUAAUUGACGCUUGUAGCAUUUUUAACAUUAAAUGUUGCAGUGUGGCAUGGGAUAAAUAUAUAUAUAUGUGUGUGGUGUUAAAUGAAAUGAAGAAAAGCUGCUCGGGGAAGACUCACUAUUAUAAUAAGCUGCUCUUGCUGCUCUGCCCUUCCGGUUCUAGGCUUCUGGCAGCUUGCUCAAGUCCAAAGCGAGAGUGUCAGUAAGGAGACGGAACAGGAUGUGCCCAGACAAUAAUUGCUGGGGCCAUGGGACUCUUUUUAUCUUGAGCCAUCGCCAAGAUUUAGUGCAUGAAAUAUUCCGUAUGACACAUUAAGGUACGCACAUUAGCUAAAAGAGUAGAGCAUUAAUAAAUAAUAAUAAUAAAAAAAAAAAAACAGUUAAUGGAAUGAGAGAAAAGGGAUGAAGAAUACUACUAUUGAAGAGCGCUAGAAAUUGAUGCCCAUAUAUAUAUAUAUAUAUAGACCGUGCGUGAUCAAUCGGGAAGAGGCAUAAUUUAUGUUGUCAACACUUAACAACAACAACCACCACCGACAAAGGUGACCUCCUUUCUCAGGCAAUCAUUCUUCGGCCACGACUAUAAUAAUUGCUUGUUCUAUCCAAAUCUUCCACGCCCCAAAGUACUCUUUGUUUAAGGUUCCCGACAGCAACAAGUAACAUUAGCAAACCUUGUCCAUCGUUGGUGCUUCUUUUUUUUUUUUUUCAUUUGAAAUCCGAAUUGCUUUUGCGGAAACGACUUUAACUUUACUUUACGCUUUUAUUAUACUGGACCUGGACCCGGUUUCCUACUCCAGCCAGCAGACUAGCGUGUGUUCUGACUUGUGAUCUUUGGCUUCUAGUUGCCGGACUGGAAUAUUAUCCUUUUUUCUAAGAAGAAUUCUAUACCCUCUGCUCUGCGCUGGAGAAAACCUAACUUUUGAUGUUUCUAAUUAUUCUCUAUAAUCACUUUGCAUAAUAAAUUUUAAAAACUCUAAAGCAAAUUAGAACAAGACCUAAGAGGUCAUGUGAUAUCUAAUCGUAAGAUGAGGAAAUAGCUCAAAAGUGAAAAAGAUUAACACCUGCAAUUUCCUUUCUGUUGGACUUAAUCCAAUUCUACAAUCUUGUAUUUUUAUCAAUUUGUGGGCACCAUCCUUGUGCAGGGGCCACGCUAAUCUUCGUUUUGUUGGACUAAAUCCAAUUCGACAAUCUUAUAAUUUCAAUUCCAUUCCGAUUCGACGAAACCGGACGGAUAGGUUUAGUCCUCCUCUUCAUAAUUUACAUCACAACCGCUACCCAUCCCAGGAAGAGAGCCACACGACCUAUAGACACACAACAAGCAAGCUUCAUAUAAUGAUGGGAAUAUGAAACAAUAGGAGCGUCCUUGGGGAAAAAAAUAAAAUUUAGAAGAACUCGUUAAAAGCUUCAAUUUUUAUCUUCAUCAUCUAGAAAGUUAAGAACAAAACAUCAUCCCAACUUUAGAUCGCCUUACAGGAGAGCUACACGAAAACAACAAUUGAACAGAAUAUAUUCUGAGAACCCUAAGAGACAUUUUGCCAAUUCUCAACAGGAGGCGGAAUUAUUUAUAAAAUUCAAAGUCAGUGUCGGGCUUCUUCACAUUGGCUCUAU